RNAcentral lists this transfer RNA (61 nucleotides) under Marmota marmota marmota (Alpine marmot). It matches the Rfam family "tRNA", at positions 6 to 65 of the family's 71-position model. From Rfam's summary of the family: Transfer RNA (tRNA) molecules are approximately 80 nucleotides in length. The record is from Rfam by way of RNAcentral. RNAcentral also lists the same sequence under 6 other names. Lineage: Eukaryota; Metazoa; Chordata; Mammalia; Rodentia; Sciuridae.
UGUGGCUCAAUGGUAGAGCACUUGCCUAGCAUGUGUGAGGCACUGGGUUCAAUUCUCAGCA